This 72-nucleotide transfer RNA is filed under the name Nematostella vectensis (starlet sea anemone). It matches the Rfam family "tRNA". Rfam says of the family: Transfer RNA (tRNA) molecules are approximately 80 nucleotides in length. Their secondary structure includes four short double-helical elements and three loops (D, anti-codon, and T loops). The record is from Rfam by way of RNAcentral. Lineage: Eukaryota; Metazoa; Cnidaria; Anthozoa; Actiniaria; Edwardsiidae.
GGCUCAGUGGUCUAGUGGUAUGAUUCUCGCUUUGGGUGCGAGAGGCCAUGGGUUCGAUUCCCGUCUGAGCCU